Molecule: ribosomal RNA, 263 nt
Filed under: uncultured Bacteroidota bacterium
Lineage: Bacteria; Pseudomonadati; Bacteroidota
Description: uncultured Bacteroidetes bacterium partial 16S ribosomal RNA
Rfam family: Bacterial small subunit ribosomal RNA
Source: RNAcentral
UGCCGCGUGCAGGAUGACGGCCCUACGGGUUGUAACCUGCUUUUAUACGGGAAGAAACACUCCGACGUGUCGGAGCUUGACGGUACUGUAAGACUAAGGAUCGGCUAACUCCGUGCCAGCAGCCGCGGUAAUACGGAGGAUCCAAGCGUUAUCCGGAAUCAUUGGGUUUAAAGGGUCCGCAGGCGGUUUUUUAAGUCAGAGGUGAAAUCCUACAGCUCAACUGUAGAACUGCCUUUGAUACUGGAAAACUUGAGUUAUUGUGA